CAGUUGGGUGCCUGCGCCAAGCAGGAGAAUAGACAAGCUGGGUGAAACUCCCACACGGUCCCGCCGCUGUAAAGGAAGAGCCGCGCUUCAUGAUGUCACUGGGUAAAACCGGGAAGGCGAAGCCGGCGAUGACGCCUGAGUCAGAAGACCUGCCCAUUU
RNAcentral lists this non-coding RNA (159 nucleotides) under pig gut metagenome. The record is from RNAcentral.